Molecule: ribosomal RNA, 878 nt
Filed under: Scinax pixinguinha
Lineage: Eukaryota; Metazoa; Chordata; Amphibia; Anura; Hylidae
Description: partial 16S large subunit ribosomal RNA
Rfam family: Bacterial large subunit ribosomal RNA (bases 170-638)
Source: RNAcentral
GCUAAAAAUCUAGCCUAUUUUACCCUAAUGAACAUAUCUAUUUUUCAAAAUAAAUUAAAACAUUUUAACAUUUUAGUAGGGGAGACCAAAAAAUUAUCUAGAGCUACAAAAAUAGUACCGCAAGGGAAAAAUGAAAUAAUAAUUAAAUAACCUUAAGCACAAAAAAGUAAAGAUUAUCCCUUGUACCUUUUGCAUCAUGAUUUAACUAGUUCAACCAAGCAUAAAGCAUUAUAGUUUGACACCCCGAAACUAAGUGAGCUACUUCAGGGCAGCUUUAAGAGCAAACCCGUCUCUGUUGCAAAAGAGUGGGACGACCCUCAAGUAGAAGUGACAGACCUAACGAACUUAGUGAUUGCUGGUUACUCAAGAAAAGGAUUUUAGUCCAGCCUAAAGCUUUCAUUAUAAACAGAAAUUUUUAAGCUUUAGAGUAAUUCAAAUAAGGUACAGCCUAUUUGAAAUAGGAUACAACCUCAACUGACGGGUAAUAAAUUUAGUUACUUAACUUAGUGGGCCUAAAAGCAGCCAUCUCUAAAAAGCGUCAAAGCUUAAUUAAAUUAUCUAAUCAAUUUCUUCAUUCACCUCCAACCCUCUUCUAUUAUUGAGUAAUUCUAUACAGUUAUAGAAUUUAUUAUGUUAAAACUAGUAACAAGAAGCUAACCUUCUCUUAAAUGUAAGUAUAGAUCAGUAAGGAUAACCCGCUGAUAAUUAACGCCUUUGAAUAAAUAUUAAUAACUAUACAAGAAAAACCUAAUAUAAAUUACGUUAAACUAACACAAGGACACUUCAAGAAAGAUUAAAAGAAAAAGAAGGAACUCGGCAAAUCUUAACCCCGCCUGUUUACCAAAAACAUCGCCUCUUGAAUUAAUAUAAGAGGUCCA